CGGGUGAGUAAUGCGUGACCAACCUGCCCCAUGCUCCAGAAUAGCUCUUGGAAACGGGUGGUAAUGCUGGAUGCUCCAACUUGACGCAUGUCUUGUUGGGAAAGUGUUUAGUGGCAUGGGAUGGGGUCGCGUCCUAUCAGCUUGUAGGCGGGGUAAUGGCCCACCUAGGCUUCGACGGGUAGCCGGCCUGAGAGGGCGGACGGCCACAUUGGGACUGAGAUGCGGCCCAGACUCCUACGGGAGGCAGCAGAC
Molecule: ribosomal RNA, 252 nt
Filed under: uncultured Gardnerella sp.
Lineage: Bacteria; Bacillati; Actinomycetota; Actinomycetes; Bifidobacteriales; Bifidobacteriaceae
Description: partial 16S ribosomal RNA
Rfam family: Bacterial small subunit ribosomal RNA
Source: RNAcentral